GCUAAUACCGCGUAAGACCACGAUGUCGCAUGGCGUCGAGGUAAAAGGAGCAAUCCGCUAGAGGAGGGGCUCGCGGCCCAUUAGAUAGUUGGUGAGGUAACGGCUCACCAAGUCAACGAUGGGUAGCCGGGCUGAGAGGCUGAACGGCCACACUGGGACUGAGACACGGCCCAGACUCCUACGGGAGGCAGCAGUGGGGAAUAUUGGGCAAUGGGGGAAACCCUGACCCAGCAACGCCGCGUGAGGGAAGAAGGUUCUUGGAUUGUAAACCUCUGUCCUUGGGGACGAAAAAAAUGACGGUACCCAGGGAGGAAGCCCCGGCUAACUACGUGCCAGCAGCCGCGGUAAUACGUAGGGGGCGAGCGUUGUCCGGAAUUACUGGGCGUAAAGGGAGCGCAGGCGGUUAAUUAAGUUGAUUGUGCAAGCCCCGGGCUUAACCCGGGAAUCGCAGUCAAAACUGAUAGACUUGAGUACGGGAGAGGAAAGCGGAAUUCCUAGUGUAGCGGUGAAGUGCGUAGAUAU
This 522-nucleotide ribosomal RNA is filed under the name uncultured bacterium. RNAcentral describes it as "bacterial SSU rRNA". It matches the Rfam family "Bacterial small subunit ribosomal RNA", at positions 162 to 697 of the family's 1533-position model. The record is from RNAcentral.